UGGUAAUGAUUUAAUUGGAGGGGUUUAAGCGAACCACGUAGCCAAUGAAUGAGUGGCUCAUAAUGAGGCUGGCCGCACGUCGAUGUUGAUGCGAGCACUACCCCAAUUUGUAGAUCUUUCUCAGGGAAUGUUCAUGCCACCAGCUCAAGCGUCAAUCAACAACCAUUUUUCUUGAGGGUACGCUACGGAUUGCCUUCCUAUUUUAAGAAUACUGAUAUACAACUGACCGUAGCACAACUCUUCACGGACAUAUAUAUUAUUAACUUUCAAUGUUAAAUUAGGCUUUAACAUGUUUUUAAUUGAGUGAAUUCAGUUUAUGUUACAUGGUGUUUAAUGUUACACGAUAAUUUAUUGUUUUUCCGAAAGAAUUCUACAAUUGGGUGAUUGCUGUAGUUUAUAGUUUAUAUGGUAAAAAUAAAUGUAGUUAAUACAAUUUUAGUAAAAUUUAUUUGUCCUUCCAAUGAAAGUUUUCUGGCUCCGACUCUGUGAAGAUAAUGCAAGCCUAGAUUGGCGGUAAGCCUUAAUUUUACCAUCUAAUUAUGUGACUGAUUUACGUGUACAAUCUGGUCUUUCAUGAAUCAAUACACGAAGUCCCCUUACUCAUUAUGAACAAACAACAUCACUAUAACAAUUAUCAAAGCACCUGAGACCUACUUUUAUGAAGAACAAAAUAUUACUCUUUGAUCCUGGCCUUUGUCAACCACAAGUCUCGCUGUUACUAUUUGGUUUGGAUUAGUAAAAUGGCAGAGCCUGCUAGAGUUCUAGACAACAAGGUUGAUGAUGAGGUGCAGGAAGACACAGAAAUGGAGCUGAACGAAGAAUCGGUAGCAUCGCAAGAAUUGCCGCCAAACUCAGUGUUUACAGCUGAGUUGAACCUCCUUAUCGUGUUUCUCUCAUUGUUUUCUUUGUCAACCGAAGAAAGUUUAAACUCCGUGGAGAGAGAACCAGAAAGAAGAAAUGAUGGAGCUAAAGCUAUCAAGAGAUUACAAAAGAAAAAACGGGAGAUAGAUGAGGUCAAGCCGGUCCGGCGACGAACUCAAAGGUUUCAAACGAGAAUAAGGGAUUCUAGGCAUGGCCGACGAGUAUAAAGAAUGAUGUCGAUGGAGGAAACUGCUCAGCAAGGAAAGAGAUGGCAAACGAUGUCAUACAAAAGUUUCCAAUUUCUCAUAACUAUAUUUUAUCCUAUUUUCCUCUACACUUAUUCCCCACAAUUGGACAAAAGAAAACAAAGGAAAGGCGCAUGCUUGGAAUUCUUUCAAAUAAUAUUAUAAUCAUAUUUGUCCUAUCUUCAUGCAUCAUUCUGUAACGAAAUUGAUUGACAAACACAUUAUAUUGGAUUAUUGAUAUAUAAUGCAUGUUUUUUUCUUC
This is a long non-coding RNA of Prunus dulcis (almond), 1368 nucleotides long. RefSeq lists it as uncharacterized. NCBI's taxonomy places the organism in Eukaryota, Viridiplantae, Streptophyta, Magnoliopsida, Rosales, Rosaceae. The record is from RefSeq and is a predicted model, not a curated record. The transcript is spliced from 3 exons.